RNAcentral lists this ribosomal RNA (1060 nucleotides) under uncultured Bacteroidales bacterium. RNAcentral describes it as "bacterial SSU rRNA". It matches the Rfam family "Bacterial small subunit ribosomal RNA", at positions 32 to 1087 of the family's 1533-position model. Lineage: Bacteria; Pseudomonadati; Bacteroidota; Bacteroidia; Bacteroidales. The record is from RNAcentral.
AACGCUAGCUACAGGCUUAACACAUGCAAGUCGCGGGGUAACGAGAGGGAAGCUUGCUUUCCUUGUCGACGACCGGCGCACGGGUGAGUAACGCGUAUCCAACCUGCCCAUUACCACGGGAUACCCCGUCGAAAGGCGGCCUAAUACCGUAUGCAGUCGUCAGAUGACAUCAGAGGACGACGAAAGGAUUGGCGGUAAUGGAUGGGGAUGCGUCUGAUUAGGUAGUUGGAGGGGUAACGGCCCACCAAGCCAUCGAUCAGUAGGGGUUCUGAGAGGAAGGUCCCCCACAUUGGAACUGAGACACGGUCCAAACUCCUACGGGAGGCAGCAGUGAGGAAUAUUGGUCAAUGGACGAGAGUCUGAACCAGCCAAGUAGCGUGCAGGAUGACGGCCCUAUGGGUUGUAAACUGCUUUUAAACGGGGAUAAAGUGAGCCACGUGUGGUUUAUUGCAGGUACCGUUUGAAUAAGGACCGGCUAAUUCCGUGCCAGCAGCCGCGGUAAUACGGAAGGUCCAGGCGUUAUCCGGAUUUAUUGGGUUUAAAGGGAGCGUAGGCGGAGCGUCAAGCCAGCAGUGAAAUGUAGCGGCCCAACCGCUGCACUGCUGUUGGAACUGGCGCCCUUGAGUGCACACGAGGUAUGCGGAAUUUGUGGUGUAGCGGUGAAAUGCUUAGAUAUCACGAAGAACUCCGAUUGCGAAGGCAGCAUACCGGAGUGCAACUGACGCUGAAGCUCGAAAGUGCGGGUAUCGAACAGGAUUAGAUACCCUGGUAGUCCGCACGGUAAACGAUGGAUGCUCGCUGUGGGCGACAAACAGUCCGCGGCCAAGCGAAAGCGUUAAGCAUCCCACCUGGGGAGUACGCCGGCAACGGUGAAACUCAAAGGAAUUGACGGGGGCCCGCACAAGCGGAGGAACAUGUGGUUUAAUUCGAUGAUACGCGAGGAACCUUACCCGGGCUUGAAUUGCUAAUGAAUGGAGUAGAGAUAUUUCAGCCGCAAGGCAUUAGUGAAGGUGCUGCAUGGUUGUCGUCAGCUCGUGCCGUGAGGUGUCGGCUUAAGUGC